Molecule: ribosomal RNA, 661 nt
Filed under: Pulveroboletus macrosporus
Lineage: Eukaryota; Fungi; Basidiomycota; Agaricomycetes; Boletales; Boletaceae
Description: eukaryotic LSU rRNA
Rfam family: Eukaryotic large subunit ribosomal RNA
Source: RNAcentral
GAUUCCCCUAGUAACUGCGAGUGAAGCGGGAAGAGCUCAAAUUUUGAAUCUGGCGGCCUUCUUGGGUCGUCCGAGUUGUAAUCUAGAGAAGCGUUUUCCGUGCUGGACCGUGUACAAGUCUCCUGGAAGGGAGCGUCAUAGAGGGUGAGAAUCCCGUCUUUGACACGGAGGACCCAGUGCUAUGUGAUGCGCUCUCGACGAGUCGAGUUGUUUGGGAAUGCAGCUCAAAACGGGUGGUAAAUUCCAUCUAAAGCUAAAUAUGGGCGAGAGACCGAUAGCGAACAAGUACCGUGAGGGAAAGAUGAAAAGAACUUUGGAAAGAGAGUUAAACAGUACGUGAAAUUGCUGAAAGGGAAACGCUUGAUGUCAGUCGCGUCGGUCGGGGAUCAACCCUUGCUUCUUGCUGGGCGUACUUCCCGGCAGACGGGUCAGCAUCAGUUUCGGACGUCGUACAAGGGCGAGAGGAAUGUGACACUCUUCGGAGUGUGUUUAUAGCCUUUUCGUCGUAUGCGACGUUUGGGACUGAGGAACUCAGCACGGCUUUUUCAAAAGCUUUUUUCGUGCUUCAGGAUGCUGGCAUAAUGGCCUUAAGCGACCCGUCUUGAAAACACGGACCAAGGAGUCUAACAUGCCUGCGAGUGUUCGGGGUGGCAAACCCGAG